GUGGGAAACCUACCUCUUAGCAGGGGAUAACAUUUGGAAACAAAUGCUAAUACCGUAUAAUAAUUAAAACCGCAUGGUUUUAGUUUAAAAGAUGGUCUUGCUAUCACUAAGAGAUGGUCCCGCGGUGUAUUAGUUAGUUGGUGAGGUAAUGGCUCACCAAGACAAUGAUACAUAGCCGAGUUGAGAGACUGACCGGCCACAAUGGGACUGAGACACGGCCCAUACUCCUACGGGAGGCAGCAGUAGGGAAUCUUCCACAAUGGACGAAAGUCUGAUGGAGCAACGCCGCGUGUGUGAUGAAGGGUUUCGGCUCGUAAAACACUGUUGUAAGAGAAGAAUGACAUUGAGAGUAACUGUUCAAUGUGUGACGGUAUCUUACCAGAAAGGAACGGCUAAAUACGUGCCAGCAGCCGCGGUAAUACGUAUGUUCCAAGCGUUAUCCGGAUUUAUUGGGCGUAAAGCGAGCGCAGACGGUUAUUUAAGUCUGAAGUGAAAGCCCUCGGCUCAACCGAGGAAUUGCUUUGGAAACUGGAUAACUUGAGUGCAGUAGAGGAAAGUGGAACUCCAUGUGUAGCGGUGAAAUGCGUAGAUAUAUGGAAGAACACCAGUGGCGAAGGCGGCUUUCUGGACUGUAACUGACGUUGAGGCUCGAAAGUGUGGGUAGCAAACAGGAUUAGAUACCCUGGUAGUCCACACUGUAACGAUGAGUGCUAGUUGUUCGAGGGUUUCCGCCCUUGAGUGACGAAGCUAACGCAUUAAGCACUCCGCCUGGGGAGUACGACCGCAAGGUUGAAACUCAAAGGAAUUGACGGGGACCCGCACAGGCGGUGG
RNAcentral lists this ribosomal RNA (831 nucleotides) under uncultured bacterium. RNAcentral describes it as "bacterial SSU rRNA". It matches the Rfam family "Bacterial small subunit ribosomal RNA", at positions 117 to 935 of the family's 1533-position model. The record is from RNAcentral.